Phascolarctos cinereus (koala) is the source of this 1553-nucleotide non-coding RNA. The record is from RefSeq and is a predicted model, not a curated record. NCBI's taxonomy places the organism in Eukaryota, Metazoa, Chordata, Mammalia, Diprotodontia, Phascolarctidae.
AGGAAGGAUGGAAGGAAGGGAGGGAGGGAAAAAAAAGAAUGAAGGCUAGAGGCUAGGCCAUUGGUAAAUGUAAAGCCUGAGGAGGCUAGCUCCUUUCCACCCACCCAACUCACAUGCAUUCUACCUCAGUGAGCCUAGGGCUAUACUGUUUUACCAGUGUUAGGGGUUUCUAUGACUUUGGUGAUCUGACUUCUAAGAGAGGUAACAGUAUCAUACUCCUCCCGAAUUCCCCCAAUACCCACCAACAGCCACUGUAAGAUCUGGACACCCUAGUUGAUUUUUGUCCCUCUCACCCCCUCCCCCCCAAUUCUAUUUGAUGAAAUUACUGGGCUUAAGGCUAAAAGCCCUUUCAGGCCUCAAGUGGUCAUAUUUACAUACGAAAGAAAGAGACAAGAAAUCUGGUUGAGGAGCCACUGAGACAGUGAAUAUAGAUUGCCUAGGUGUUUUUUCUCAGGUACUCAUGUACUUGGGCAAACAGGGUGGGCUGUUCAAAACCAGAGAAUUGACUCCCUACAGGGCAGUCUAUAAGAAAGUUGGCCCAGUGAUUGGGCUUUUGUGGAAGAAGAACUCUGUCAUUAAAGAACCCCUUAUUUCUCAAAAGGUAGACGGGAGGAAACUUUUUUCUCGCAAGUCUGGCUAACUUGUCUCCUCUCUGCAGGUGCUUCUGCGGCAAGAUGCCAUUGCUGAUGGAGGAGGAGCGGUGGCGAAGAGAGCCAUCCCCUUCUCUGCCUUGCUGUUUUCUACAAGCACAAGGGUGAGUGCAGAGCUUCCUCCAGAGCUCAGCCCUUUCUGCCUUGAUGCUGACUUCUUCCCUCUCUUCUCACCUGUUUCAUAGAUAGAUCCUUCUUGCUUUUUACCUAGGCCAAAAAAAACAUGGCUGAUCCUUUCAGGGAAUCCUUUAGGGGUUUCUCCAAAUCCCACUAAUUGCCUUCUUUUGACUAAAGCCCUCUAACUCCAUCAGGCUCAUUGAAGAGACUUCUCUGCAGCCUUUGACAUGGUUGAUGACCCUCUUGUCCUUGAUACUCAAUACUAUCAAUGGCAAACAAUCACCUGCACUCUUAUUAUGUUCUCAGGUGGUUGAGAAAACACUUUCAUGCCCUAUUAUCAGGUUGUUUAGGAAAACUCUCCAGCCUAGUCUGGGAUUUUCCCUCUUCAACACAGUGUUACCACAAUCUCCCUCUUUUUCCAUUCAAAGCAAAGAUCAUUUCUACGACAUCCCUGCAAAGUGGUUUUGACACAAUCUCUCUCUCUCAGUGGCUGACAGGAUGCUACUUAGCCUUUAUUUGAGGAGGUUUUACUCCCCAUAGAAUCAUAGAAUUGCAGUUUUAGAAUAAAUCUCCAAGGCCAUCUAACCCAACCCACCUGAAGCAGGAAUCCCAUCUACGUUUCUGACAAAUGGUCAUCCAGCUUCUUUUAGAACAUCUCCAGUGGUCGGUAGCUCACCAUUCCCCAGAGAACUGGUGGUGGUGGUGGUGUGGAAACCUGUCUUGCUUUUCAAGACUCAGUGCAGCAAUAGUUGAAGUCAACGAAAAAUAAAAGUUUUACUAAAAAUA